UGAGGGGUGCAAGCGUUAAUCGGAAUUACUGGGCGUAAAGCGAGUGUAGGCGGUUACUUAAGUCGGGAUGUGAAAUCCCCGGGCUCAACCUGGGAAUUGCAUUCGAUACUGGGUAGCUAGAGUUUGGUAGAGGUAAGUGGAAUUCCGGGUGUAGCGGUGAAAUGCGUAGAUAUCCGGAGGAACAUCGGUGGCGAAGGCGGCUUACUGGACCAAAACUGACGCUGAGGCUCGAAAGCGUGGGGAGCAAACAGGAUUAGAUACCCUGGUAGUCCACGCCCUAAACUAUGUCAACUAGACGUUGGGCUCAUUAAUGAGCUUAGUGUCGCAGCUAACGCGUUAAGUUGACCGCCUGGGGAGUACGACCGCAAGGUUG
RNAcentral lists this ribosomal RNA (373 nucleotides) under uncultured organism. RNAcentral's name for it is "partial 16S ribosomal RNA". It matches the Rfam family "Bacterial small subunit ribosomal RNA", at positions 526 to 896 of the family's 1533-position model. The record is from RNAcentral.